UAGGGAAUCUUCGGCAAUGGACGAAAGUCUGACCGAGCAACGCCGCGUGAGUGAAGAAGGUUUUCGGAUCGUAAAACUCUGUUGUUAGAGAAGAACAAGGACGUUAGUAACUGAACGUCCCCUGACGGUAUCUAACCAGAAAGCCACGGCUAACUACGUGCCAGCAGCCGCGGUAAUACGUAGGUGGCAAGCGUUGUCCGGAUUUAUUGGGCGUAAAGCGAGCGCAGGCGGUUUCUUAAGUCUGAUGUGAAAGCCCCCGGCUCAACCGGGGAGGGUCAUUGGAAAAUGGGAGACUUGAGUGCAGAAGAGGAGAGUGGAAUUCCAUGUGUAGCGGUGAAAUGCGUAGAUAUAUGGAGGAACACAAGUGGCGAAGGCGGCUCUCUGGUCUGUAACUGACGCUGAGGCUCGAAAGCGUGGGGAGCAAACAGG
RNAcentral lists this ribosomal RNA (429 nucleotides) under Gemmatimonadota bacterium. RNAcentral describes it as "Gemmatimonadetes bacterium partial 16S ribosomal RNA". It matches the Rfam family "Bacterial small subunit ribosomal RNA", at positions 355 to 776 of the family's 1533-position model. The record is from RNAcentral. Lineage: Bacteria; Pseudomonadati; Gemmatimonadota.